UGCUGACGUGUUGUUAUGGAGGAAACGGUGUGGAGGUGUUGUAUUGCUAGGUUCUUCUACGAUUCUGUGGUUUCUCUUUGAACGAGCUGGCUAUAAUUGCUUGUCUUUUGUGUCUAACGUCUUGUUGCUUCUCGUCGCAAUCCUUUUCUUCUGGGGCAAAUCUGCUUCCCUUCUCAACAGGUAGGUUUAGUUUCUUUACUGUAGUUGUAAUUUGCUGGAAACAUUUCAAUGCCUUGCACUUUUAGAUGUAAAUUAUCAACUUGGAUAAAUAAUGUUUUAGUGUUGGUGGAUCAAAACCAGUCUAAUGCAUCAGCUGAUAUAUAAUCAUUUCGCAUCAGAUUGUAUGUAAUUGUUUGUUUGAGGAGUUAGAAUGUGUUGUGUUACUUUAAAUACUUUGAUUGGAGUAAUGGUAAUUGUAUCGCAACAGCAAGUGCAAGUGUGCAGGCUUAAUUGGUAGGCCUUUAUUUGGAAGAUUGCUUCCAACCGGAUGAAUUAAUGAAAGGAUUGUAGAGAAUAAGGAAGUUUUUAUGAUACUAUAUUAGAAUUGGUUAUGUCGAGACAAAUAUGUAGGUACUUAUAUUCUUCUGAGACUUGAAUCUGUUGGAAAUUGAAGUUGAGUUUGAGAUUGAAUUAUGAUGCGGCUUGUUUUAAGUGAUGGAAGGGAUUUUUUUGGUUUAGGCCUCUGCCUCCCCUUCCUGAUCUGGAAAUUUCAGACCAAUCUGUUGUGAAGGUUGCUGAUGAAAUUCAAGUGUGGGUCAACCAUGCUUUAUCUAUUGCAAGGGAUAUUGCCAUGGGCAGAAAUUUGAGCAGAUUUCUUCAGGUUGGCUGUUGAUCUUUUUCUGAGUUUUUUCCAGUGAGAUAUUCAUAUUUUUUUAUGUUAAUCACUAGAGAAAAUAAUUUGAGGCGUUUCUUUCUUAUGCGGGGGUUUGACCAUCAGGUUGCUUUUCUGUUGUGGGUGGUAUCUUAUGUUGGUAGUGUCUUCAACUUUCUUACUCUUGUCUAUAUUGG
This 1008-nucleotide long non-coding RNA is filed under the name Citrus sinensis (sweet orange). RNAcentral's name for it is "long non-coding RNA (CSIN_LNC003333)". The record is from RNAcentral. Lineage: Eukaryota; Viridiplantae; Streptophyta; Magnoliopsida; Sapindales; Rutaceae.